Molecule: ribosomal RNA, 272 nt
Filed under: uncultured bacterium
Lineage: Bacteria
Description: partial 16S ribosomal RNA
Rfam family: Bacterial small subunit ribosomal RNA
Source: RNAcentral
AUUGAACGCUGGCGGCAUGCCUUACACAUGCAAGUCGAACGGCAGCGCGGGGCAACCUGGCGGCGAGUGGCGAACGGGUGAGUAAUAUAUCGGAACGUACCCUGGAGUGGGGGAUAACGUAGCGAAAGUUACGCUAAUACCGCAUACGAUCUAAGGAUGGAAAGUGGGGGCUUCGCAAGAACCUCAUGCUCCUGGAGCGGCCGAUAUCUGAUUAGCUAGNGGUAGGUAAAANCCUACCAAGGCAUCGAUCAGUAGCUGGUCUGAGAGGACGA